AUGCAGUCGUACGGCAACACAGUUGCGAGCAAUCGCAACCGGUGGCGAGUGGCGCACGGGUGAGUAACGCGUAUGUAACCUACCCUUCUCCGGGACAUAACUCCGCGAAAGCGGUGCUAAUAUCCCAUACCAACUCAUCAAGACAUCUUCUUGAGUUGAAAGCAGCAAUGCGGUGAAGGAUGGGCAUGCGUCCCAUUAGCUGGUUGGUGAGGUAAUGGCCCACCAAGGCUACGAUGGGUAGGGGUUCUGAGAGGAAAGCCCCCCACACUGGUACUGAGACACGGACCAGACUCCUACGGGAGGCAGCAGUAAGGAAUAUUGGGCAAUGGUCGAAAGACUGACCCAGCCAUGCCGCGUGCAGGAUGAAGGCCCUAUGGGUUGUAAACUGCUUUUAGCCGGGAAUAAACACCCGUUUUAUAACGGGCCCGAAGGUACCGGCUGAAUAAGCAUCGGCUAACUCCGUGCCAGCAGCCGCGGUAAUACGGAGGAUGCAAGCGUUAUCCGGAUUCACUGGGUUUAAAGGGUGCGCAGGCGGACAUUUAAGUCAGGGGUGAAAUCCUACAGCUUAACUGUAGAACUGCCCUUGAUACUGAAUGCCUAGAGUAAAGCUGAAGUGGGCGGAAUGUGUUGUGUAGCGGUGAAAUGCUUAGAUAUAACACAGAACACCAAUCGCGAAGGCAGCUCACUAAACUUUAACUGACGCUCAUGCACGAAAGCGUGGGGAGCAAACAGGAUUAGAUACCCUGGUAGUCCACGCCCUAAACGAUGAUCACUCGCUG
Molecule: ribosomal RNA, 779 nt
Filed under: bacterium enrichment culture clone BD11
Lineage: Bacteria
Description: bacterial SSU rRNA
Rfam family: Bacterial small subunit ribosomal RNA
Source: RNAcentral